GGUGCCGGCGGGAGACCCCGCCAUCGCCGUGCUGGUGGAGAGCGGGCCGGUCGUCUACGAUGAGGCUGCCGAUGAGGAAGAGGAGGAGGAAGAGGACCCCUGCAUGAGCGCCAUGGAGAUGAUGGGCAGCAACGAUUACGGCUGCGACGGAGAGUACGAGGAUUGAUUCCAGCUUCGACCUCCUCGGCUCAUCGUCUGUUAUGGGCUCGCUCCAUUUCGGAUCCCCGACUGUAUCAUGAGUUCACGACAAAGGGAAACAAAAUGGCUGCAGCCACAGAUGAGAACUGUGAAGCCAAGAGGAAGAAUUAAAACCCUCCCGCUCGUCCUCGUCCAGUUCGUCCUCGUCUGGACGGACACAGAGACACAGAGACACAGAGGAGCUGAAGAGGAAACGAGAGACACUGUGAAGGAAGGAAGCUCGACUGGGACAAACAUUCACACAGUCAGGUUACGUGAAGCUGUUUUAAUAACGUAUACAUGACUGUGUUUUAAUACUUCGUGGUGAAAACCAGUCAUUUAAAUGCUGCUAAAGCAACGAUUAUGAAAGAGAGACAUGCAGAAGAAGAUGUCAUCUGCAGCUUCCUCUCCUGGUUUUAACCUCUUCAUCGUUUAGUCACCGGAGACACGAGUGGGACAAACCAUCUUCAUCCUUCAUCCGGCACUUCAUCACUCGAGUACUUAACAGACGGGGACGUCAACAACUUCAUGUCGUCCUCAAACCCUGUUCCUACACUUCAGCUUCUCCACGUUCUCCAAACAAGCUUCUGCCAAUCAGGUGGCGUGAGAUCAAUCAUCGCUACACCGGGAUUGGCCGAUUGUAUUAUUCAGGUGGAUUAAAGCCUUCUGUGAUUGGUGGACGGACGCGAGCCGCCUGCGUCUCCGAAGCCAAAGUCUCACAGCGACGACGUCUUCGAACAAGAAAUCCCAGGUUCACCAAACCAAUGUGUGUUAGUGGGAUUUUAGUGAAUUUUUUUAUUUAGCUGGUAAUUCAGUUUGGGGCUUUUCCGGGUUAUUUUGAGACAGAACGGAUUUCAUUUAACGAGGUUGUAUCUUUUCCUUGGAGUUGAUCACUGAGGCGUUCAGGAUCUAUUUUCUAUUUAAGGUUUUAUGAUUUUUUGUGUUGGAGUAAUGACACUUGAGAGGUGAAAGUGAAUGUGGCCUUUUCACUGUGUCCACACACAAACACACACACACACACAACAGUGUUUAACGAGGUGUCCCUGAACGCCUCUGCUGCUGCUGCUGAUGUUACAACCUGCAUACUGUUGUGUGAGUUUGCUGCUAAAGUAAAGAUUUCACUACAUGAGAUAAAGAAA
Molecule: long non-coding RNA, 1316 nt
Organism: Pleuronectes platessa (European plaice)
Lineage: Eukaryota; Metazoa; Chordata; Actinopteri; Pleuronectiformes; Pleuronectidae
Exons: 2
Source: RefSeq, a predicted model, not a curated record